UUUAUUUGAAAGGGGUAUUUGAUGCGCCUCAGGAGGGACCUGCAUUUUAUUAGCUAGUAGGCGAGGCAAGGGCUCACCUAUACCACGAUUCAUAGCCAAACUGAGCACGGUGAUCCGUCACACUGGGCCUGACACCUACUCCAGACUCCUACGGGAGGAAGCAGAUAGGUAAUCUUCGGCGAUGGGCGCCACCCCCACCCAGCUGCACCACGUGAGUGAAGUAGGUUUUCCGAUCGUUUAGCUCUGAUGUAAGUCAAGAACGGGUGUGAGAGUGUAAAGUUCACUCUGUGACGAUAGCUUACCAGAUAGGGACUGCGUAACUACGUGCCAACAUACGCGGUAAUACGUUGGUCCCAAGCGUUGUCCGGAUUUAUUGGGCGUAUAGCGAGCGCAGGCGGUUUGAUAAGUCUGAAGUUAAAGGUUGUGGCUCAACCAUAGUUCGCUUUGGAAACUGUCAAACUUGAGUGCGGAAGGUAAGAGUGGAAUUCCAUGUGUAGCGGUGAAAUGCGUAGAUAUAUGUAGGAACACCGAGGGCGAACGCGGCUCUCUGCUCUGUAACUGACGCUGAGGCUCGAAGCGUGGGGAGCGAACAGGAUUAUAUACCCUGCUAGUCCACGCCGUAAACGAUGGGUGCUAGGGGGUUGGAUCCUUUCCGGGCAUCCGUGCCGCGGCUAACCCCUUUGAGCACUCCGCCCUGGGGAGUACGACCCGCAAGGAUAAAACCUCAACGGCGCUUCACGGGGGGCCCGGCAAAAAGGGGUGUGACCAAUUUGAUUUAAAUUCGAAAUCAACCUGCAAGUAACCUUUCCCGGGGUCUUGACCUUCCCG
This 828-nucleotide ribosomal RNA is filed under the name Streptococcus sp. TERI BD17. RNAcentral's name for it is "bacterial SSU rRNA". It matches the Rfam family "Bacterial small subunit ribosomal RNA", at positions 192 to 992 of the family's 1533-position model. The record is from RNAcentral. Lineage: Bacteria; Bacillati; Bacillota; Bacilli; Lactobacillales; Streptococcaceae.